GGAUGAACGCUGGCGGCGUGCCUAAUACAUGCAAGUCGAGCGAACGGACGAGAAGCUUGCUUCUCUGAUGUUAGCGGCGGACGGGUGAGUAACACGUGGAUAACCUACCUAUAAGACUGGGAUAACUUCGGGAAACCGUAGCUAAUACCGGAUAAUAUUUUGAACCGCAUGGUUCAAAAGUGAAAGACGGUCUUGCUGUCACUUAUAGAUGGAUCCGCGCUGCAUUAGCUAGUUGGUAAGGUAACGGCUUACCAAGGCAACGAUGCAUAGCCGACCUGAGAGGGUGAUCGGCCACACUGGAACUGAGACACGGUCCAGACUCCUACGGGAGGCAGCAGUAGGGAAUCUUCCGCAAUGGGCGAAAGCCUGACGGAGCAACGCCGCGUGAGUGAUGAAGGUCUUCGGAUCGUAAAACUCUGUUAUUAGGGAAGAACAUAUGUGUAAGUAACUGUGCACAUCUUGACGGUACCUAAUCAGAAAGCCACGGCUAACUACGUG
This 498-nucleotide ribosomal RNA is filed under the name uncultured bacterium. RNAcentral describes it as "partial 16S ribosomal RNA". It matches the Rfam family "Bacterial small subunit ribosomal RNA", at positions 27 to 507 of the family's 1533-position model. The record is from RNAcentral.